UACGUAGGGUGCGAGCGUUAAUCGGAAUUACUGGGCGUAAAGCGUGCGCAGGCGGUGCUGUAAGACCGAUGUGAAAUCCCCGGGCUUAACCUGGGAACUGCAUUGGUGACUGCAGCGCUGGAGUAUGGCAGAGGGGGGUGGAAUUCCACGUGUAGCAGUGAAAUGCGUAGAGAUGUGGAGGAACACCGAUGGCGAAGGCAGCCCCCUGGGUCAAGAUUGACGCUCAUGCACGAAAGCGUGGGGAGCAAACAGG
This 253-nucleotide ribosomal RNA is filed under the name uncultured bacterium. RNAcentral's name for it is "partial 16S ribosomal RNA". It matches the Rfam family "Bacterial small subunit ribosomal RNA", at positions 524 to 776 of the family's 1533-position model. The record is from RNAcentral.